AUUGAACGCUGGCGGCAGGCCUAACACAUGCAAGUCGAGCGGAUGAAGGGAGCUUGCUCCUGGAUUCAGCGGCGGACGGGUGAGUAAUGCCUAGGAAUCUGCCUGGUAGUGGGGGAUAACGUCCGGAAACGGGCGCUAAUCCCGCAUACGUCCUGAGGGAGAAAGUGGGGGAUCUUCGGACCUCACGCUAUCAGAUGAGCCUAGGUCGGAUUAGCUAGUUGGUGGGGUAAAGGCCUACCAAGGCGACGAUCCGUAACUGGUCUGAGAGGAUGAUCAGUCACACUGGAACUGAGACACGGUCCAGACUCCUACGGGAGGCAGCAGUGGGGAAUAUUGGACAAUGGGCGAAAGCCUGAUCCAGCCAUGCCGCGUGUGUGAAGAAGGUCUUCGGAUUGUAAAGCACUUUAAGUUGGGAGGAAGGGCAGUAAGUUAAUACCUUGCUGUUUUGACGUUACCAACAGAAUAAGCACCGGCCAACUUCGUG
RNAcentral lists this ribosomal RNA (484 nucleotides) under uncultured bacterium. RNAcentral's name for it is "partial 16S ribosomal RNA". It matches the Rfam family "Bacterial small subunit ribosomal RNA", at positions 30 to 507 of the family's 1533-position model. The record is from RNAcentral.